AAGUAGUGGAUGGACAAUUUAUGUAAGUAUGUCUUAUCUGAUGGCUUCACAGUAAUCUGGUUUCCCCUAAGAAGCUAAGACUAUCUGGGCUAUUUGAGAUCCUGCAAGAUUUAUCAAGACUGUACUAGCCAUAUGAAAGCAUGUUAACACAGGGAGGGAGAGAGGAAAAGCCCUCCACAUGUUAUGACUGGCAUACAUGCUUCCAAAGCAUCGUUACUAACCGAAGGCCCAGUUCCUGAGGCGAUCACCCCAGACACACUGAAUGCAAUUUGUUGGUCACUGAG
RNAcentral lists this long non-coding RNA (284 nucleotides) under Homo sapiens (human). Its description in RNAcentral is "HSALNT0360688". The record is from RNAcentral. Lineage: Eukaryota; Metazoa; Chordata; Mammalia; Primates; Hominidae.